Non-coding RNA from Myodes glareolus (Bank vole), 1497 nucleotides. The record is from RefSeq and is a predicted model, not a curated record. Lineage: Eukaryota; Metazoa; Chordata; Mammalia; Rodentia; Cricetidae.
GUCAGGUGGCAACAGUCUGUCUGCACGUCCUGCUGAAAUCUCAAUCCCAUCAUUGCUGACUGGACCACAUCCCCUGGGGAAAUCACACACCCACGUCACGUUCUUCAGGGUCACCUCUUGCAUGUGCUGUGUUUUGGAGUCUGGGUUUAGCGGACAAAUGCGACAAAGAGCACGCAGCUUAAGUCCUCUACGGAUCAGACACGCAGCAGUGCCGAGCCGGUGGGCUUUCUGGUCAUCGCUGCCGUGGACUGUGCUCUUUUUCUUUCUGGUUUUCACAUCUAUAAGGAGAAAAGAGUGUCCUCCUGCGUUUGGACCUUUCUUGUAUAUUGUCUGGAAGACCGAUCCUCUGUAUUCUCUCUAGAGAGUUUCCAGCUAAAGAGAGAACAGCUCUCAUGCAAGUCUGCCGGAGCCGUCUGUUUCCUGAAUGGCCUCUUUGAACCAAGUGUCAGGACGUGGACUUCAAUAACACAGCUGGAAGAGUAGGGGCUGAGGGGUUUCUGAAGCAGAAAGUCGUGACGUUUGAUUCUGAAUUGUUUUCUCAGCUACCUGGCCUUUUACACCGUGGAGCUCAGGGCUCUAGAAGAUGAAGAAGAACCCACAACAAACCAGCCAAUCAGUUCCUAAUUUCCCUGUAAGUUACUUUUAAGUACACCUUCGGCAAGUUAGCUUUUCGUAGGGAAAAACUGGGCUGCCCCGGGAAAAGUCAAACACUGUGGUUACUACAAGAAAAAACUAGUUUAAAUAGAGAGUGGACCGGUGUCAUGCUCCACCCCAAAGGCUGUUGUUUACACGCGCUGAUGGCAUUUGAAAGCAAAUCGCUCUGUGCUUUUGUUAAUGUCUCUCAGAAAGCAGAGAGACAACUGAUUUGCCUAGGUUUGUUAACCAUGCGAGGUUUUACAGCUACUUCGGGCAUUUCCCAACUUGCUGGGAUCAACUGUAGAGUACGACCGGCUCUCUCAGUUUGAAAAUCAAAAUGAUUGUCAACAGCGCUCAUUAGCCGAUGUUUGCAUGUACAAGAUGAACUGAAAUAUACAAAAGGUGAGAAUACACUCAUAUUGGCAAAGCAUGGCUUUUAAGAGAAACCGAAUCUUCAAGCGACAAUUCCCGGUAAGCGAGGAGCGGUUUAUUCAAUUUUUGGCUUAUGAAUGGUCUUUUCUUCUUUGCCUUCUCGCUCUUCAGGAACCUUAGUGGCAUAUAAUGCCUUCCAUCAGAGACAGAACAGUGAAAGGGGGCAGUGAACUCAAUCCUGUAAAUUUCUUUUCUUGUCAGAGGCUCUGAUAAAAAGAAUCUGAUGUAGGAGGAGAUAAAAAUCUAUCUAAUGGUAGCUAGAAGUAAAAGCUCUAGAAACAUAUCCCAGGAUUGGACUUAGCCCAUACACUACUGCUUGCUAGGAUUUGGCACUCACAUAUUCAGUCCAUAUAUGUUGGGGAAAAGAAUAUAAGGGUUCAACAAAAAUGUGCUCUUAAGUGUAACAUGGAAGGCCAGCUUGUUGGGGUU